AUCCACCUGACGAGUCCCAAAUAGGGUGAAAUGCGCGUUAUCCUGGAU
Molecule: non-coding RNA, 48 nt
Filed under: Trichobilharzia regenti
Lineage: Eukaryota; Metazoa; Platyhelminthes; Trematoda; Strigeidida; Schistosomatidae
Source: RNAcentral